Molecule: ribosomal RNA, 502 nt
Filed under: uncultured bacterium
Lineage: Bacteria
Description: bacterial SSU rRNA
Rfam family: Bacterial small subunit ribosomal RNA
Source: RNAcentral
GCGAACGUUAGCGGCGGGCCUAACACAUGCAAGUCGAACGAGAAAAUCCCUUCGGGGGUGAGUAAAGUGGCGCACGGGUGAGGAACGCGUAGGUAAUCUACCCUCUGGCGGGGGACAACACUCCGAAAGGAAUGCUAAUACCGCGUAAGACCACGACCACCACGGUGGAUGUGGUUAAAGAUGGCCUCUUCUUGAAAGCUAUCACCAGAGGAUGAGCCUGCGUCCCAUCAGCUUGUUGGUGAGGUAACGGCUUACCAAGGCGAAGACGGGUAGCUGGUCUGAGAGGAUGAUCAGCCACACUGGCACUGGAACACGGGCCAGACUCCUACGGGAGGCAGCAGUGAGGAAUAUUGGGCAAUGGGCGCAAGCCUGACCCAGCCACGCCGCGUGUGUGAUGAAGGCCUUCGGGUCGUAAAGCACUGUGGGGAGAGACGAAAAAUCUCCGUUCGAAUAGGGCGGAGCCUUGACGGUACCUCCUUAGCAAGCACCGGCUAACUCUGUG